UCAGGAUUAACGCUGGCGGCGUGCCUAAUACAUGCAAGUCGAAUGGUAGCAAUACCAUGGCGAACGGGUGAGUAACACGUAGGUAACCUGUCUUUAAGCCGAGGAUAACCAUUGGAAACGAUGGAUAAUACUGGAUAGGACAUUUGAAGGCAUCUUUAAAUGUUUAAAGAUUUAUCACUUAGAGAGGGGCCUGCGGCGCAUUAGCUAGUUGGUGAGGUGAAGGCUUACCAAGGCGAUGAUGCGUAGCCGGACUGAGAGGUUGAACGGCCACAAUGGAACUGAGAACGGUCCAUACUCCUACGGGAGGCAGCAGUAGGGAAUUUUCGGCAAUGGGCGGAAGCCCUGACCGAGCAACGCCGCGUGAACGAAGAAGUAUUUCGGUAUGUAAAGUUCUUUUAUUAGGGACGAAAAGACGGAUUGACGGUACCUAAUGAAUAAGCUCCGGCUAACUACGUGCCAGCCGCGGC
Molecule: ribosomal RNA, 467 nt
Filed under: uncultured bacterium
Lineage: Bacteria
Description: bacterial SSU rRNA
Rfam family: Bacterial small subunit ribosomal RNA
Source: RNAcentral